RNAcentral lists this ribosomal RNA (464 nucleotides) under uncultured bacterium. RNAcentral's name for it is "partial 16S ribosomal RNA". It matches the Rfam family "Bacterial small subunit ribosomal RNA", at positions 28 to 506 of the family's 1533-position model. The record is from RNAcentral.
GACGAACGCUGGCGGCGUGCUUAACACAUGCAAGUCGAACGGUAAGGCUCCAGCUUGCUGGGGUACACGAGUGGCGAACGGGUGAGUAACACGUGGGUGACCUGCCCUGCACUUCGGGAUAAGCCUGGGAAACUGGGUCUAAUACCGGAUAGGACCGCACCGUGAGGGUGUGGUGGAAAGUUUUUUCGGUGUGGGAUGGGCCCGCGGCCUAUCAGCUUGUUGGUGGGGUAAUGGCCUACCAAGGCGGCGACGGGUAGCCGGCCUGAGAGGGUGGACGGCCACAUUGGGACUGAGACACGGCCCAGACUCCUACGGGAGGCAGCAGUGGGGAAUAUUGCACAAUGGGCGGAAGCCUGAUGCAGCGACGCCGCGUGGGGGAGGACGGCCUUCGGGUUGUAAACUCCUUUCACCAUCGACGAAGGGUUUCUGACGGUAGAUGGAGAAGAAGCACCGGCUAACUACGU